RNAcentral lists this long non-coding RNA (3716 nucleotides) under Olea europaea subsp. europaea. Lineage: Eukaryota; Viridiplantae; Streptophyta; Magnoliopsida; Lamiales; Oleaceae. The record is from RNAcentral.
AAAAUAAACGUGUAUUCAAACAUUUAACUCUAAAAAUUAGGUUGCGGCUAAUCUCUCUCUUUUUUAUUCAUUUUUCCUCCAUUUUCCCACAAAAUCUCAAUGCCUCUCUUCGUUCUUUCAUGUACGUUUCAUUUUCUCUCUAUGGUUGUUCUUUCUACCCACCAAUAUCACUGUCCUUUUCUUUUUUCUUUUUAAAAUCUUGUUUUGCCUUUUCUGUUUCUAUCUAGAUCUGGGAAUUUUGUUCUGUUUUCGAGAUUAGCUUCAAAUUGUUACAAUUUGUGCCUCAGAUCUAACUCUAAGCAUAAACAAAGAGGAACCCAGAAAGGUAAAAUUACUGAAAAAGAAGAAAAAAUCCUAAAAAGUCUAUCCACUUGUCCAAUCUACGUAUGUUUCUGAUACCUAAAAAUUAGUUUAUUUUCAUGAUUAUGUACAUGUUGAACUAUGAAUAUUUAUUUGGUGAAAUGUUCCUUAAUUUUUUUGGUAACAAUUUCAGAUCCACCAACGUAAGUGUGCGUGAACCUUUUUUUUUUGUUUUUAUUUUCUUUGUUUAUCUGUAAUGUGAGCUCUGUGUAUAGGCUUUUGGGUUCUGGGAGUCUAGGGUAAAAAAUCAAUUGUUUUUGUUUUCGGUAGUUUGUGAAAUUUUCGUUGAGUUAUUGUUCAUGUUGUGAUGAUAAUGGUAAAAAAUCAAUCGCUUUGGCUGUUUAUCCGUGAAAUUAAAUUUUUUUUUCCAUGUAAUCUGUUCUAUCCUCUAUCUUUCAUGCUUCAAGGAAAGCCUCGAAAUAGUUCGAUUUUGACACACUAAAUGUCAAUGCAAUUAUUCAUAUCAUGCUCUAUGCCAAAGAUCAUAUCUACUGGACGGUGAUGGAUAUAUAUUUUGUUUCUUAGAUCGGUAUCCAAAUACAUCGGUUCUUUUUAGCAUAACUCGGGGAAGUUAACAUUUGAUUCUUUUUUUCGGUAACUGAUACACUUAAAGGAUAUGAUCGAUUGCUGAAUUUUUUGUUGGAUGAAGCAACAGAGUUUCUUAGAGUUAAUUGAUACAUGUCCAAUCUUUUAUGGCUCGUUAUACUCCAAAUUCUAUAGAAUUCUUGUAGGUAGUAUGUUAAACGAGAUUAUUUUCAUUGUUGAAACAUGUCUUAGUUGCCAUACGUUAACAAGUUAAUUAUGCUUGCUCUUUGUCGAACUAUUGGUAUUUAUUCUAGCAAUUUGAGCUUAUUGUAUUAUUACAUUGCAUCUUAAAUAUUUUAGGUGAAUUUUUUCUUAUACCUGCAAAUUUUUUAAAAUUAAUCUUUUUUUAAUAUCGCAGUAAAGAACAGUGUAGAGGAGUGCACUAUGUACUUAAAUUGCGAAUUCCUUUUAAAGUUUUAAAGUUCAGUACUCGAAUAUUUUGAUGAGUUAAGUUAUUUGAUUUUAUAAAAGCAAUAGCUUGAUGAGUUAAUUGUUUUUCUUUUUCUUUGUCUGAAUUGCAGGUGUCAUUUUUUCUUCGAAAUUGCCAAUAUGCGUGGCUUGAAUAUGCUAAGCGAAUUCCUUUUAAAGUUCAAUACUUGAAUAUUUUGAUGAGUUAAGUUACAUGAUUUAUAAAAGCAAUAGCUUGAUGAGUUAAUUGUUUUUCCUUUUCUUUGUGUGAAUUGUAGGUGUAAUUUUUUCUUGGGAUAGUGCCAAUUUGUGUGGCUUAGAUAUACUCAAAAGUAUAUGAAGUACAAAAAAAUUCCUCAUCGAAACCGUGAGUCAGAAAAGCUAUCUAGAUCUUUGAUUAAAUUUGAACCUAAAUUGCUACAAUAAUUAAGACAAAUGUGUGGAACAUUAUGUGUGAAAAUGUUUUAAGUAAUAUAUUAUGUUUGCUUGUAGAUGCAUUUGUUGAACGGUAUGGAUAUUUGGUAUAUCAGUUGCUUGAAUAACUAUUUUUUUAAUUUUUUUGUAUUUAUGAGAUAGAGAUUUUGUUGAAUUUAAUGAAUGUGUUCUCUUGUGUGAAUUCUAACUAAAGCCAAAAGGCUCAAAACUAUAGUGACGAACAUUGUGCUAAUGUACAGCUCUCUAUUUUUUCAUCCAAUUCUUUGGGAUAUUGUUACAUUAGUAAUUUACUUCAAAUCCAGAUAGAUGUCUGACCAAUUUGGGAAGUGUAGAAAGUCGAGUCAUAAUUCUUGCUUGUUGAAAUUGAGAAAACCAGACAUUUUGCCUCACUAUGGACAUGAUGUGUUUUUUUAUUGGAGUCAGUUUCGUAAUUUAUAAUUAUAUGCUUAUAAAUUAUUUAAUAUCACUUGGAUCAUUCUUUCUUUUUGUUUGUUGAUUAUAUCUCUAUAAAAUAGCUGAAAAUAGUUGUUCCCUUUUCCUAUAAUACUAUGUAACUUUUUCCGGUUUAGUGCAAGACAAUUUUUCCAAAAAAUGAACCAAGUACGUUUCAAUCACAAUGUAGAACCUACAAGUCAUGUUAAUAAGCAUUCUGAGCAUUUGUUAAAAAAUUGUUCAAGUGCCAAAUGUCAAUAUAUUAUAUUCAUUUAGUCACAAAUGAUGAGGUAUUGUGAGUAGAACUAUACUUUUAAAACUCAUAUUAACAUCUAUAACUUAUGCUAACAAUUGCUCCCAAUUGUUAACUAGCAUUUGUUUAUAGAAAAAUGUUGAGGGUUCUCAGGGGGCAUUCAUUUGGACGUGGUAUAUCUAUUAGAAUGAGUGGUUAAGACUUGUCUUAAUUUACACAAGUUAGCUCGUACUUCAUGACACAUAUGAGUCUGAUAUCAAUACAUUUAGUUAGGUUACUAUCUCUAGGUUGGCAUUUUAAUAUUUGAAAUGAUGAUUUUCUCAUGGAUGCUUCCCGUACAUUUGUUUUAGGAAAAUUUUACUGGUAUAUAUUUGAUAGGAUCCUGCAACAGUAGCUGUUCGAUACACAGAAUCAAGGGCAAAAAGAGGACAUAAAUAGAGCAAGAAGAAUCUGACAGAAUUGUAAUAUGUAUUCUAUAUUCUGAAGUGCUGUAAAUUCAAAUACAUUUUAAUAGAAAGAUAAUACAAAUAUGUAAGAUUGAUGAAAUGUAUUCCAACUCUAAUGCAAAAGAAAUAAUAAGUAUUUGGCAUUCGAGAGGCCAGUUCUCUCCCCUAGAUCCUUCUCCAUAUCUUCUCUAUUUGGCUAUUAUCUACCUAUAUUUAUAGCAUACAUGUAACUACUUUUCCCCCAACUAAUUUUACCCUCUAAUAGACUUUAGUUUUCCACCAUUUGCAGGUUAUUCUUCUUCUGGGUCCUUCUAGAUUAUGUGAGGUAGAUUGGAGCAUAUCAGUAUUCUACUUCAAUUGUACCCUUUCAAAUAAUACCUUCAAGAUUAGACUUUUACCGUCUCGUUUACAUGCCCUGCAACUUCAUUUCUACUUUUUCCUUGUAGAGUAGUUUUGUUUAUUAGAUGAAAUUUGUUUUGUAUGACAGACGUUUUAGGUUUAGCUUUAAGCAAGAGCCAUUUAACUGUAUUCAAUUGAUGGAAAGAAAGAUAACAAUUAGUUAUAAAGGCAAAGGCAGAAUUGGUCUUGUUGAUAACACGUCAGAAAAUGAAGUGAGGCAAAUAUUGGUAGACACAAUUUAUAUAAUUCAAUGUAAUCUUCAUUCAAUGCAGGGUUAAUUUUCCACUGAAAUCUUACAAAUCCAAAAUUCAACAUUAUUACUUACACUAAAUCACCCACUACACGUGCAAUGCGUGUGCAUUCACUAGUCUAUAGUGAUAGGGAUGUAUCAAAAGUGG